CCCAUGGCAUAUGGAGUUCCUGAGCCAAGGAUCAGAUCCCAGCCACAGUUGUGACCUUUACCACAGCUGUAGCAGUGAUGGCUCCUUUAACCUACUGUGCCAGGCUGGGAGUCAAACGCGCAUCCUGGCACUGCAGAGACACUGUCUAACCCGUUGCACCACAGCAGGAACUUCUCAGGUUUUUCUACUGUGCCAAGAGCUGGCCUCCUUUCAGACUUUCCUCCCUCUCACCAUCUUCUACCCUCUUCCCACCACCUUUGUGGACAUCUGAAAGCCCUGCUCCAGCCUGUGCUGCCCUCAUGUUGCACUCAUUUGCCUGUUCUUCCCGUCAGAGACAGUGCAGCAAAGCCACUGGCUCUGAAGUCAGUUGGCCCAGGUUCAAAUCUCCACUCCUCCUCUUCCUAGGGGUAUAACCAAGGCACAUCUUUCCACCUCCUGGUGCCUCAGGGUCUUCAGCCAGAAAAUGGAUGUCAAACAACACUCAGCUCUCAGGACUGUUGCAGGGGUUCGAGAGAGAAUAUACUUAAAGCAACCAGAAGUGAGCCUGGCACUAGUGAUUUCUCAGUAGAUAUAGGCCAAAUGUUGCCUGAGAAAAAAAGAAGUUGGAACUCUAAAGCGGACUUGGUCCAGUUCCUGAUGCCAGCACCUAGGAUGGUACCUGGUGUGAGCAGGUGCUCAUUCAGUUCAUGUUCAGUGACUGAAUGGAGGAUAAUAUCCAUUACUACAAAACUGCCAGCCUCAGCAGAAGUGACUUUGAAAAAUAAUGAUCACAUCUUGUAUAUUUUUAUGGUCUAAGGUGAUGGGACAAGAUCUGGGAAGGCUAGGGCUGCCUCUGGCUGCACUUGUGUGGUGAGGUCAGGGCGUCCCCUGCCGGCCUCAGGGAGCACUGCAGGCAGGGACCAGAGAGGCUGCUCCCACCCCCAAGCUACCAGCCUGGAGGGAGGACCUGGUGGCAUUGCUUACUUACCCUACCUGGCCCUGAGCAAAGGGAAAACCACUGGCACUUAUGGGCUCUGGAAAGUUCCCUAGAGCUCUCAGGUGGGUCUGAGGGGAGAGAAGUAGUAGCUCUUAGAAAUUUGGAAGUGAUUUCAACAAUCUAGUCUAAAUUCUUAACAUAAUGAUAAAUUUUUUUUUUUUUUUUUAAAUCUACUGAGCACUUACCAUGAGCCUUUUACAUGGAUUAUCUCACUGAAACCUGAGAACAAUCCUUUCGGGUAGAUGCUAUACAGUACUCUGUUUAAGGUCCCAUAAACAGGGAUCAGUGGCAAACCCAGGCCCCCUGACCCCCAAUACAGUGCUCUCAUACUGUCUCUCCAGGACACUAAAUCCAGGACUACAUUAUGGGGAUUCAGAUGCGGGCAGGAGUCCCAGGAGGUUUGAGUUUCCCAAGAAGAUGCACAGUGAACACUUGUUGAUUGACUGACUGAUGGUAAGAAUAAAGAAGUGUGUCUCAUUGGAUUCAGUCCACGGAGUAUGUUGCCACAACCAUAAAGAGGUUAUUCACACUCUGGGCACCUAGACUUCUAGGACACACCCUCAUUUUCCUCUGGCCAGCCCUCUGCCUCCUCCAGGCUAAUGACCUCCCACAGACUCAGGAGGACUCCAGGCUUUAUUUAGGACCUCACUUCCGAUACUCUGCACUCAAAUCCAUCCAAUGCUAUUUCCUGCUGUGUUUUGCUGAUACUCUCCCUCCUUCAUCCUGAACUGACCUUAAAGUCAGCACACUGGGGCUACAGUGAGGCAGGUCAGAACCUUCAGGACACAGUGAAGGAAGGACUUGAAUUCAUCUCUAUUUCACCCAUGACAAAACUGAGGCACCAAAGGACUUAAGUAAAUUUGGAAUAAAUGAAAAAAAAAAUUGUGGAUAUUUCCAAUGGAAAACUUUGCAGUGUUUAGGACAUAUCCUUCUGUGCAAUCUGAUUAGAGCUUUUCAUUGCCUUUGAGCUUGUUUGCAACUCUAAGUUGCAGAGAAUUGAUGGCACAGCAAUGCUUCCUGUCUAUGGAUACGCAAAUAAAUGCUGUUUGUUCCAAGGACAACACUCUCCUUUUGUGGAAAAGUCAAUUUGCUUCCAUUUACAAGUUGAUUUCAACAUUCCUGUCCUAGAACUGCAUCUGUUCUUUGGAUUCUCCAUUGAAUGGUUUGUAAUAUAUCCCUGGUUCCCUUCUUAAUGAUAAGGUAAACAGAUCUUGAGUAUGUGUAUGAGGGUCAUGAUUUCAUCUUUUAAUUUUAUUUAUUGUUUUAAAAAAUUAUUUUUGCCACACCCAAAUUCCCAGGCCGCUGCAGUGACAAUGCUGAGUCCUUGACCUGCUGAACUGGGGAACUGCUAUUUUUUAAAAUUAUUUUUUACCAGGGGUAAUAGGUUAUUUGCCUGCAGUCUCACAAGGAGAGGUAGGCCUAGAAUUUGAACCCAGCAGCUAGGAUGCAGCAUGCAUGUUUAUAACCACCACCCGAUGUUCCAGGUGCUUGCAAAGCCUGAUUGCAUGAGAGUGGCUGCAGCUGUAAGUUAAUCAGUCCUAGCCUAAAUAAGACCCUUGAUCCUAACUCAAACCCUAGCCCCGAUUAAAAGCUAAUAAACUAAAUAGUACUCUAAGGAAAGGAUAUAUGGUACCAUAGCAUUCGGGAGAGACAGCUUUAGGUGGUACAAGCAAGACACUCCAGCUGAGGGGCACUGGGUGGUGUUCUUUAUCUUUCCCAGGACCUCUGUGGCCUCACCGCACUUAGCCUCAACUAGAUACCUAGACUCUUGUGUUUCUUGCUGAGGGCUUCUGCGUGGUCCUUGGUGCUGUGCAGGCCUUUGCUAAAGGCCUGGAUGUGGGAAGGGCUUUGGGAGCUGGUUUUCACUCCCCACAUCACCUGGAGUCAGAGGGAGUUGGAAGGUAUCCAUGGCCUGUGUGCCCUAGAUCCAGUGGCCUGGCCUCCUGCUUUAUUUGUGCUUCUGCACUCAGGGCUGAAAGCCACCAACCUUGUCACAAUGUAGGAUUUGGGGUGUUUGACAACAUUAGAAUGCAUCUGUGUUUUAUUAAUGUGGAUUCUCCAUUUCGUCAUUCACUGAGCUACCUUUAUUUCUGACUGGUUACAAACAAUCCCAUCUUUUUUCUCAUUGGGGAAUUUUCAGGUACAUAUUUUUAUAAAUUGGUCCACUUUGUUACUGCUUUCAGUCAUUGCUUUUAAUUUUUAAAUAAAAAAAUUUAAUUUUGCCAC
This 3202-nucleotide long non-coding RNA is filed under the name Sus scrofa (pig). RNAcentral's name for it is "lncRNA (ENSSSCG00000059637.1)". Lineage: Eukaryota; Metazoa; Chordata; Mammalia; Artiodactyla; Suidae. The record is from RNAcentral.